CAUAAGCAAGAGAUCUGCAGUUGUGUCUGCCAGCAAUGCAGCUAGGAGGAAGAGAACUCACCCAGAGAUGCCUGAUCCAGCUACGAUCCUCACGGAGCUGAUAAUCCUAUCAGAAGCACAGCUUUCAGACUGAUGGUUGCCAGCUCCAAAAUGUCACCAGUGGGAAUUGUGUCAUUUCUGAAUGAAGACAUUUCCGUCCAACAUUUUGGUUUGCCU
This 216-nucleotide long non-coding RNA is filed under the name Phasianus colchicus (ring-necked pheasant). RNAcentral's name for it is "lncRNA (ENSPCLG00000010178.1)". Lineage: Eukaryota; Metazoa; Chordata; Aves; Galliformes; Phasianidae. The record is from RNAcentral.